CCUACGGGUGGCUGCAGUCGAGAAUCUUCGGCAAUGGACGAAAGUCUGACCGAGCGACGCCGCGUGCGGGAUGAAGGUCUUCGGAUUGUAAACCGCUGUCGAGGGGAAUCAAAUGCUUGGGGGUACUCCCCCUUGUUUGAGAGAACCCUGGAGGAAGGGGAGGCUAAGCUCGUGCCAGCAGCCGCGGUAAGACGAGCUCCCCAAACGUUAUUCGGUAUCACUGGGCUUAAAGAGUUCGUAGGCGGUCUAGUAGGUGGGGUGUGAAAGCCCUCGGCUCAACCGAGGAACUGCGCUUCAAACCGCUAGACUUGAGGGAUAUAGGGGUAAGCGGAACAGAUGGUGGAGCGGUGAAAUGCAUUGAUAUCAUCUGGAACACCGGUGGCGAAAGCGGCUUACUGGGUAUUUUCUGACGCUGAGGAACGAAAGCUAGGGUAGCGAACGGGAUUAGAUACCCCGGUAGUC
RNAcentral lists this ribosomal RNA (462 nucleotides) under uncultured bacterium. RNAcentral's name for it is "bacterial SSU rRNA". It matches the Rfam family "Bacterial small subunit ribosomal RNA", at positions 338 to 795 of the family's 1533-position model. The record is from RNAcentral.